GGAAAAGCGAUUUGGAAACAAAAACACCUGCUGCUCCUGCUGAGAGGAAGUGAGUGUAAAAACAGUCACAGGGUUUUCUAGACGGACUGUGAACCGCUGUGUUAGUGAGAGCGCGUGCUGUGAUUGGUCAGAAACGAGCCAAUCACAGAGGCCGGAGUUCUGUGACCUCUCUGUCACAGCGUGUGAUGAUCCUGAUGGUGAAAGCUGAUUGGCUGUAAACACGAGAGGUUAAAGAUGACGCCGCUGUGUGUUCAGUGAGGUAUUUUAGGAGAAACUGCUGAAGCAAAGUUGGUACUUUAAUGAAGUGUUUUGUCCUCAGUGUCCAGGUCUUGUUCUGUCAGUGUUUUCCGUCUGAUCCUCCGAUGGAUGCUCUUUUGAAAUGCUCUUCCUGGAGACAGGGGGUCUGGCUGCGCUCUGACCCAGAGGAAGAGGGGCCACGCGGGGCCACCGACCCCGUCCUGAGCCCAAGAGUCUGCACAGAGCCACACAAGGACAUGCAUCCAUCAGAGAACGGCUAAAUAAUAAUGCAUCAUAUUGCUGCCUUUAUUUUGGACUGCCUUCAUGUCAGGAGUGCAUCGGUGAUGCCUCAGGGCCAAACAUAUAGGAGCAGAGGACUUCAUAUUGACCAGAGGCUCGAUUAUCAGACGUGGGAUUGGGAUCACAGGCCAGCAGCAGCAGCCACGGAAAGUUUCCCAGUGAGGAUGGAGACGGAGCCGCUGAGGAAGUGGGGAGCCAUAUGGAGGAGAUCUGCUGAUUUUCCAAGUGUUCCAGAACCUGCUUAACUCAGACUGCAUCCUGUCUUGCUUUGGACUCACUAUCAAUAAUAUCCUCUGUGAGACUGUUAUCUGCAAUACAGAAAUCCAAUUCAUUCACUCAUUUUCUGCUAAAAAGUAUCACAAAAUUCCUUAAAUAAAAGAGUUUUUUCAUUUAUUUUGUUUAUCCUUACAAAGUGUAUCUUGAUGUGCAUGGUCUUUUAUAUCAGCAGUUUUGUUGCUACGUUUUGUAACACUUUAC
Molecule: long non-coding RNA, 1014 nt
Organism: Cyprinus carpio carpio
Lineage: Eukaryota; Metazoa; Chordata; Actinopteri; Cypriniformes; Cyprinidae
Source: Ensembl